Molecule: long non-coding RNA, 1369 nt
Filed under: Helianthus annuus (common sunflower)
Lineage: Eukaryota; Viridiplantae; Streptophyta; Magnoliopsida; Asterales; Asteraceae
Source: RNAcentral
UCCGCCCCAUUUCUUCUCUCUCUCUCUCUCACCAGGCGAUAACCCUUGAUCCAUGGAUUUCACUGCCGAAUUCACUGGAUCGACGGAUUUCACCCGCGAAUCCACAUCUCAGGGUUUUUUCUCCGGCUAUGACCCUAGAGCGAUGGAUUUCACUGGCGUUUUCAAAUCUCAGGGUUUCUUUCUCCGGCGAUAACCCUAGAGAUAGAUGGAUUUCACCGGCGUUUUCACAUCUAAGGUUUAUGGAUGAAGACGAUAAAGAACUUAUCUCUGUCUCCAAAACCAGUGAUAAAAUAAGAAGUUGAGUUCUGUACUUAUCCAUUAAGUAGUUGAUAUAUAAGUAGCCAUUUAUGGUUCUUUAUGAUGAGCCCUCAUGAUUUAAGGCUCUUUUGGAGUGAAGUAUAAGUCAAAGUAUCUCUUAAACCAUCAAAAUUUUCUACAAUUUUUUUUAUUCCAGAUUUUUAAGGCUCUUUAUGUUUCAGAUUUUAAGUGGCUGAGGUUUGACCAUCACCGUAAUUAUUCAUAUUUUAAGUGGGUGAGGUUUGCCCUCAACAGUCAAAAUAAAAUUAUGACUGGAUUUGAUUUUGAUAGUGAUGUUGAAUGGUCCAGUUGUGUCAUUCUUUUGCAAAUUUGUGAUGUAUUAGUACUUUACCCUUAUUCUGCAAAUGAAAUCAUCAAUUGCGUGGUGAUUUGUUGGCCACGGGUAGAGGGGUAAGAUCGAAGGCACAGUUACGCGAGAUGCCGAACAAUGAGUCCAGGUCACAACCAUAGGCAUGAUAGCAGGAUGUUUGUUCUUACUUUACAAAGCUUUACGAGGUUGAUGGUUUGGAUGCUUUUUCUGUCAAACAAGCUUGCAAAAUAGCAAAGGGACAUGCCUUGAAGAACGGAUCCAUUGAUCGGCUUUUCUUGGCCCUGUUAGAUCUGUUCUUGUGCAUCCUCAUAUGCAGAAUGUUCCCUCACUUAAUCGUCUCAUGCUCACUAAAGCAAAGGUCAACUCUUUUAUACAUUGUUUUGUUGAAGUUCAAAAGAUCACAUCAUUACAUGACUUGGAGAUAGAAAUAUGUAAAAGUGAAAGGGUCAAGAGCUUUGAAGAACUUAAACUUAAACUGGGACCCAUUCCGAGGUCACAGAAAUUUGCAAAAUUACAAGUGAACAAAUUUUUGCGUACCUCAGCCGACUCCCUCGCAAAAAAGAAAAAGGAAGGACCUCCGUAGAUGACUUAUUUGAUUUUAUAGCAAAUGUUUAUACAAGGCAUACCCUGCAAUAACAAUAUUUUUAUUAUUUUUAUUUUAUAUGAUGUAUAUGAUCAUACUAUAAUGACAGACAUAAACUUUCACUUGCCAAUUUGCUACAUCUUUGUCAGUGACUCUUA